Molecule: ribosomal RNA, 128 nt
Filed under: Vibrio sp. 10N.261.52.A1
Lineage: Bacteria; Pseudomonadati; Pseudomonadota; Gammaproteobacteria; Vibrionales; Vibrionaceae
Description: partial 23S ribosomal RNA
Rfam family: Bacterial large subunit ribosomal RNA (bases 1-110)
Source: RNAcentral
CUUUAAGUGUCCUAAAGGGUUGUUCAAGACUAGAACGUUGAUAGGCAGGGUGUGUAAGCGCUGUGAGGCGUUGAGCUAACCUGUACUAAUUGCCCGUGAGGCUUAACCAUACAACACCCAAGGGGUUU